CUAAAUCCCGUCUAAUUUAGGUGAGCAAGCAAUUGGGCAGGCGGGGGUGGGGCCCGAGGAAAGGAAUGAGGGACGUUGCAUAAAGUUGGUCAACAACCGACGUUCGCCAUCUCCUUCCUCCCCGGCGCACAGCUCGUCGUCAUCAAGCUUGAUACAAUUUCUAUGGAUUCUAUGGCACCUGUUACAGAGGUUUCUCACGAACUUGCCCGAGAGUCCCUAAUAGAGAUCUCACAAUCUCUUCCAGAAAAUAACCUUCACUCAAAUCCAUUGCCUACUAACUGUACUGAUGCUAAUGUUGUCAGUGUAAAAGAUAGCGAAAAGGCUGAAGAAUAUAGAUCUAAGUUGAUCUCCAUUUCCUACACAGAGUCUUCAGAAGUUCAACCUUCACCGUCUGCUUUAGAAAAUAUCCGCAGCUAGCCAAGAAAUUGCUGCUGCUUGUGGAGAUCUGUGUGUGUUGUUAUCUUUCCAUGUUUUUUCUGUUUUGGGUUAAACUCCUGGUUCUCAACUAUCAACUCUUUGCUUUCAAUGAAAUAAAUUUAUCAUAUAAAUCCAUACUGA
Phoenix dactylifera (date palm) is the source of this 558-nucleotide non-coding RNA. NCBI's taxonomy places the organism in Eukaryota, Viridiplantae, Streptophyta, Magnoliopsida, Arecales, Arecaceae. The record is from RefSeq and is a predicted model, not a curated record.